GUCCACGCCCUAAACGAUGUCGACUAGUCGUUCGGAGAGGUAACUCACUGAGUGACGCAGCUAACGCGUGAAGUCGACCGCCUGGGGAGUACGGCCGCAAGGUUAAAACUCAAAGGAAUUGACGGGGACCCGCACAAGCGGUGGAUGAUGUGGAUUAAUUCGAUGCAACGCGAAAACCUUACCUACCCUUGACAUGCCUGGAAUCCUUGAGAGAUCAGGGAGUGCCUUAGGGAGCCAGGACACAGGUGCUGCAUGGCUGUCGU
Molecule: ribosomal RNA, 263 nt
Filed under: uncultured bacterium
Lineage: Bacteria
Description: partial 16S ribosomal RNA
Rfam family: Bacterial small subunit ribosomal RNA
Source: RNAcentral